CUUAACAUGAUGGUGUCCAGUU
Molecule: non-coding RNA, 22 nt
Filed under: Rattus norvegicus (Norway rat)
Lineage: Eukaryota; Metazoa; Chordata; Mammalia; Rodentia; Muridae
Source: RNAcentral